GACGAACGCUGGCGGCGUGCUUAACACAUGCAAGUCGAACGAAGCCUGAUUACGGAUUCUUCGGAUGAAGUAAGAUAUGACUGAGUGGCGGACGGGUGAGUAACGCGUGAGUAACCUGACUUUCAGUGGGGGAUAGCGCUUGGAAACGAACGGUAAUACCGCAUAAUGUAUUUUGACCGCAUGAUCGAAAUACCAAAGAUUUAUCGCUGAAGGAUGGACUCGCGUCUGAUUAGGUAGUUGGUGGGGUAAUGGCCUACCAAGCCGACGAUCAGUAGCCGGACUGAGAAGUUGGUCGGCCACAUUGGGACUGGGACACGGCCCAGACUCCUACGGGGGGCAGCAGUGGGGAAUAUUGCACAAUGGGCGCAAACCUGAUGCAGCAACGCCGCGUGAAGGAAGACAGUUUUCAGAGUGUAAACUUCUGUUCUUAGUGAAGGAUAAUGACGGUAGCUAAGGAACAAGCCACGGCUAACUACGUG
RNAcentral lists this ribosomal RNA (479 nucleotides) under uncultured bacterium. Its description in RNAcentral is "partial 16S ribosomal RNA". It matches the Rfam family "Bacterial small subunit ribosomal RNA", at positions 28 to 507 of the family's 1533-position model. The record is from RNAcentral.